This 1614-nucleotide long non-coding RNA is filed under the name Carica papaya (papaya). RNAcentral's name for it is "long non-coding RNA (CPAP_LNC005642)". The record is from RNAcentral. Lineage: Eukaryota; Viridiplantae; Streptophyta; Magnoliopsida; Brassicales; Caricaceae.
CCCCUGUUAAUGAUAAACCAGCCAUUGAAGAAAUUUUAGCUGUAAUCCAAAACCUCUCUGCAUAUUCAUCUUCUCAAGGCAAAGAAAAUUUAGAGAAGAAUACAUUUGUACUCCUGUUGGAAAAUACUUAAUGAAUAUUGCCUGCCAUUAGAACUAAGCACCACCCAAUGCAAAGAUAAGAAAAGAAAUGCAGACAGACAAACACAAGAACCAAAGGAAGAGAAUCAGAACUCUAUAAAGUCCUUAUGGUAUCCACUGUUUCAUUCAUUAGAACCUCUAAUUCACCCCCUUGGUGCCUUGUUUAUAAAAUCUUGUAUUUUAUUCUCACACAAAGAACCUUUGAUUCAACCCAGCAUAUUGGAGCUGUGUAAUAAGUUAAUCUCUCAUCUACUCCUAAAAGUCAUAAGCCACAUUGUAUAAGCAUUUAGUUCUACUGUCUCAAUAUCACAGAUUGGUGAAAAAUCAAACUUGUAAAGUGAACUAUCAGUCUUUGGUCAUGCCCAUUGUUAGCAAUUAAAUGUUAUGCAAAUGAUGAACAACAGAUGAAAUACCAUAAUGAAGGAGAAAAUAAAUAAAAUGAAGAAUAACUGUCCAAUAAAGAAUAGAGAUCAUUUGCUUAUGUAUCUAGCUUGUAUUUGGAAAUUGUUCCAAUGAGAGUGAUAAGACUGGCAUAAUAUUCUGUAAUCUUUAGCUGAUAAGUCAACAACAUGUACCGCUUCUCAAACUUUCUUGUCAUAGACAAAAGUUUGUUUUUUAUAGGUAAUAAUAUAUUUUCAAAGGCAGGAGGGUUCUCAGAGUUUUCAUUCUCUCUUGGAUGACGACUACUGAACUGAUCCACGACACUGAACUUAGGUGAUAAUAUACUUGCUAUUGCUUGUUAUACUAAGUAAAUCUCAAUAAACCAGGUAAUGGUAAAACUCAAGACCUAGAUCUCGUUCCUCUUCUGCACAUAGGCGGUACCCUCCUUGGUGCUCUGUCAAUGUUAAUAGACAACAUGUACCGCUUCUCAAACUUUCUUGUCAUAGACAAAAGUUUGUUUUUUAUAGGUAAUAAUAUAUUUUCAAAGGCAGGAGGGUUCUCAGAGUUUUCAUUCUCUCUUGGAUGACGACUACUGAACUGAUCCACGACACUGAAUUUAGGUGAUAAUAUACUUGCUAUUGCUUGUUAUACUAAGUAAAUCUCAAUAAACCAGGUAUUGGUAAAACUCAAGACCUAGAUCUCGUUCCUCUUCUGCACAUAGGCGGUACCCUCCUUGGUGCUCUGUCAAUGUUAAUAUUUCUUCUUCUACUUUUUUCUAGAGGACCCAGAUCUCAUUCCUCUUCUGCACACGUGGCACCUCCUUGGUGCUCUGUCAAUGUUAAUAUUUCUUCUUUUACUUUUUAUAGAAGAUCUAGAUCUUGUUCCAUUUUAUGAUGCAAAAUUCCUUAAAGAUCAAGAUUAACAGAUGAUAUGUAAUAAAUCUACUUUUCAAUCAUAAAUUAUAACAUCCUAUCACAAUCAGAUUUAGAUGAAUACUAAGAGCUGUCCUCACAAAUAAAUGGCUCUAGAUUUUUUGUAAAACCUUCAUUUGGAAGCACUGUUAUAGGAAGUGCUAAACACCAUUAGACAUACCAC